AAUGCCUAGGAAAUUGCCCUGAUGUGGGGGAUAACCAUUGGAAACGAUGGCUAAUACCGCAUGAUGCCUACGGGCCAAAGAGGGGGACCUUCGGGCCUCUCGCGUCAGGAUAUGCCUAGGUGGGAUUAGCUAGUUGGUGAGGUAAGGGCUCACCAAGGCGACGAUCCCUAGCUGGUCUGAGAGGAUGAUCAGCCACACUGGAACUGAGACACGGUCCAGACUCCUACGGGAGGCAGCAGUGGGGAAUAUUGCACAAUGGGCGCAAGCCUGAUGCAGCCAUGCCGCGUGUGUGAAGAAGGCCUUCGGGUUGUAAAGCACUUUCAGU
RNAcentral lists this ribosomal RNA (325 nucleotides) under Vibrio parahaemolyticus. RNAcentral describes it as "bacterial SSU rRNA". It matches the Rfam family "Bacterial small subunit ribosomal RNA", at positions 112 to 440 of the family's 1533-position model. The record is from RNAcentral. Lineage: Bacteria; Pseudomonadati; Pseudomonadota; Gammaproteobacteria; Vibrionales; Vibrionaceae.